AGAGCGAACGCUGGCGGCAGGCUUAACACAUGCAAGUCGAACGCGUGUAGCAAUACACGAGUGGCGCACGGGUGAGUAACGCGUGGGCAUCUGCCUCAUGGUUCGGAAUAACCCCGGGAAACUGGGGCUAAUACCGGAUGGUACCUUCGGGUUAAAGAUUUAUCGCCAUGAGAUGAGCCCGCGUCCGAUUAGCUAGUUGGUGAGGUAACGGCUCACCAAGGCGACGAUCGGUAGCUGGUCUGAGAGGACGAUCAGCCACACUGGGACUGAGACACGGCCCAGACUCCUACGGGAGGCAGCAGUGGGGAAUAUUGGACAAUGGGCGAAAGCCUGAUCCAGCCAUGCCGCGUGAGUGAUGAAGGCCCUAGGGUUGUAAAGCUCUUUCGUCAGGGACGAUAAUGACGGUACCUGAAGAAGAAGCCCCGGCUAACUUCGUGCCAGCAGCCGC
Molecule: ribosomal RNA, 448 nt
Filed under: uncultured bacterium
Lineage: Bacteria
Description: SSU rRNA
Rfam family: Bacterial small subunit ribosomal RNA
Source: RNAcentral